UAUAAGAUGCCUGAAUAAAGGGUAAUUUUGAUAGAAUUAAUCAUGUGAGAAAUCACUCUUAUAA
This 64-nucleotide transfer RNA is filed under the name Psylliodes circumdatus. Its description in RNAcentral is "tRNA-Ile". RNAcentral also lists the same sequence under 1 other name. The record is from RNAcentral. Lineage: Eukaryota; Metazoa; Arthropoda; Insecta; Coleoptera; Chrysomelidae.